UACGGGGGGGGCAAGCGUUGUUCGGAAUUACUGGGCGUAAAGCGCGUGUAGGCGGCCACGCAGGUCCGUUGUGAAAACUAGAGGCUCAACCUCUAGACGUCGACGGAAACCGUGUGGCUAGAGUCCGGAAGAGGAGAGUGGAAUUCCUGGUGUAGCGGUGAAAUGCGCAGAUAUCAGGAAGAACACCAAUGGCGAAGGCAGCUCUCUGGGACGGUACUGACGCUGAGACGCGAAAGCGUGGGGAGCGAACAGG
Molecule: ribosomal RNA, 253 nt
Filed under: uncultured bacterium
Lineage: Bacteria
Description: partial 16S ribosomal RNA
Rfam family: Bacterial small subunit ribosomal RNA
Source: RNAcentral